RNAcentral lists this ribosomal RNA (234 nucleotides) under uncultured bacterium. Its description in RNAcentral is "partial 16S ribosomal RNA". It matches the Rfam family "Bacterial small subunit ribosomal RNA", at positions 15 to 244 of the family's 1533-position model. The record is from RNAcentral.
GAUCCUGGCUCAGGACGAACGCUGGCGGCGCGCCUAACACAUGCAAGUCGAACGAGAAAUGAGGAGCUUGCUCUUCAAAUCGAGUGGCGAACGGGUGAGUAACGCGUGAGGAACCUGCCUCAAAGAGGGGGACAACAGUUGGAAACGACUGCUAAUACCGCAUAAGCCCACAGCUCGGCAUCGAGCAGAGGGAAAAGGAGUGAUCCGCUUUGAGAUGGCCUCGCGUCCGAUUAG